UACAACUCCUGUGUCCAGAGGAUUAAAAAUAGAGUUUGGCCUUAAAAAGUACCACUUUAUAAGAGGCAACAUGACAUAGUGUUUUAACUGACCUCAUGUUCACAACAGAAUCGAAAAUCUUUGUUAGAAAUUAGUGAAGCCUGUAAGAUGGUUUUUAAAAAGCAUGAUGUGGUAUAUAAAUAGAGCUUAAUUUUGUAAAGUUCUAAUAUUAAUUUUUAUAAGUCCAACGGUCUUAGACUGUUCAACAUUGUAAUCCUCUUAAUCAAAGACAAGUAAAUUUAUAUUGUGAACAUUUUGGUAACAAAUGGCAAUGUUUUCAUAAACUCACACUGGGAUUCAAAGCAUAACAGCAUAAACUUUUCUAGAUUUUUGCAAUCAACAGAGCUGCUUCUAAGAGAAAUGUAGAUGGAAAAAUAGGAAUCUGGAACUAUAUAUUCAUAAUUAAAUACACUGGAAGAUUUUUGACCGCUCUCAUUGGUUUACUGUUUUCUUGCUUUUUGGGGAAGAAACAAUUUCGUUGGAUUUUAGUUGACAAGGUAGUUAUCUUGGCUUCAGCAUUAUAUAUAAAUAUGCAAAUUAUUUGGAGAGUUAAUGGGCAGGCCAUUUAUCUCUAAUAAAGUUUAGAUGGCUAUGCUUAAAACUGAAUUUGUGUAUCUGAGUGGGAAACAGCCUUUUUUCUUUUUUUUUUCCCUCUUGGUUGACACCUGGUGGAAAUUCAUUCUGGUUGUUCAAGUAGUUGGAAUUUUGUACUAGCUUUGGUAACAGAUACUACUUGGGUUUUUUUGCCACCUAGUGGUAAAAUGGUGAAUUUGCUAAAAUGUCAGCUUCUCAGCUUUAGGGUCAAAUGAUACUUGUGAAGCAUUCAAAUGACAUUGGGCAAGAAAUGGAUUUAAAAGUGCAGUACACAAUGAGGACUUCAUUACUAAAUUUGUUUUAAACACCUCAGGGCUCGUGAACAAUGGCUAAAUUGUUCAGAAGUUUAAGUAAAAAUUUUCUUGUCGUAAUAUAACUUCUAUCUGAAAAAAUAAGAAUCAGUUUUUUAAAUGAACUAGAAUUGCAUUUAAUCAGAAAGAACCCUAAGAGAUUUACUUGUAGUUUCGAAAAUUGUUUUACCACAUUAAAUGAUUCAUUCAUGGGGCUAUAGGGCAUUAUUACUUCUCUUAGAAGCUUUUAGGAUAUUGUAAAUUACUGUCUUUAUUACUUACUUUGCUAUUUCUCUUUAUUUUCUCUCUGUGUCUUCAUAAACACUUCCUAAACACCUCUUAAACUAAUUGACAAGUUGCCAGGAAAUUCUUAUCCCCUGUCACUUUUACUUAAGAUUCUGCUCAUUUAUCCUAAUUAUCACCUUUCUUUGAUUUGGAUUUGGUCAUGUAACUAUUUAAGUGUCUAAACUUGAGUUUACUUGCUUUACUUGCUUCAUUUUGUUUACUUCCUCCUAUUUGUUCAAACUCUGGAAACACCAGAAACAAACAAACAACAAACAACCCUGGCACCUUUAAAUUCCUGUUUGUGUUUUCAGUUUUUUAAAAAUUUAUUUAUGUGAGUAAUAUCUACAUCCAGUAUGGGGCUCAAACUCACAACCAGAGAUCAAGAGUCUCAUGCUCUUCCAACUGAGCCAGCCAGAUGUCCCUUUGUUUUUGUGUCUAAAAGGAAAAAAAAAACACUUUGACUAAAUUUUGGACUAAAUGUUUUCUCUUGUGGCUUUUGUAACCUCCCCUUUUCAAAACUCCUUGUCUAAAACUCUGCCUUUGAGAUAACUUGAAAAGUACUUUAGGUGUUUUCUUGGUCUUCUGGACUUGUCUUACUGGGCCCUUAUUGUAUUUUGCAUUAAGUUUAAGCUAUUCAUCUUUACCACUAAGGCUCUUUCCUACUGCACUCCAGCCUACGUCUCCUAUGCCUUCUCCUCCUACUCCUCUGCUGACUCUCUAUACUCCUGUCAAGUGCAUCUUCUGUCCCCUUUGUUAGCCUGUCUCGCUGUUGCCAGUGUGCAGUUGCAUGCCGUUUUCUGUGCCCAGAACAACAUCUCACUGCUGUUAACUCCUUUCCCUUCUUCUAACCCCUCUACUAGACUCAGUUGGGCACAACUGAAUAAAAUUCCAAGUAGGCAGAAUAACUAGCUCCCCCUUCCCUUUUUACAACUUCUUCAGAGCUUAAGUAGAAAUCCCUCUUUAUGGUAUUUGUUCCUUGGAUUUUAAAUUCGAUGGCUGUUCCACCUUACUGUACAAAGGAUUAAACUCAAGCUCAAGAACUCUAUCUAAAACUGACAAAUGAUGAUCACUAUCAAGAUAUUUUGUAUUCAUGUGGCUUUUCUGCAAAUGAAGAGGAAGGAGAGAAGAACCUUUUAGAAAGAGUCGCUUGAUAAAUAAGUGGCCAAUGGCAGGGGAAUGAUUGUCAAAUAGAGUCAUGAUCCUAAAAAGGAUAAGUGAUCACUCUAAAUGAAAUGAAGUGUUGGUUGCUGGCUUGGAGACAGCAGCGGCCAAUAGUUAAGAGGACAAAGCCAAUUAAGUGAACUCUUGAAAAAUCACCAAAACAUUGAACAGUGAAAUACUUAGAUUGAAAACACUACAAUAUUUGCUGUGGAGAAACAGAACUUUGUGGAUUUAUGAAUGGAAAUGAGAUAUAACAUUCUGGAUUCUUACAAGAGAGCAGAAAGUAUGAGCAAUGAAUUGGUUUCCGAUGUUUGCAACUAUGACCUUAAAUGACAGAACUGAGUAGGACUCAGGGUACGCCCAGCAUCCCUUGCAUGUUGCCUGGAAGGUAUUCCUGGACCACUUGCCUUACCUCAAGAGGUUUCUUGGAAUAAAUUGGAAUUCACGGAUGCGUAUUGGAGCACCGUGAGGCUGGCUUCCGGUUAUUGUUAGGACUGACAUGGCUACAGAAUUUCUCCAAACCUCACAUCUGCAAACUGCAGGGUGUGCAAUACCUUGUACUUGGUGUCCUUAAGUGAUUGGUAGUAUCUCAAUAAGCACAAGAGAGUUAGCAAAUAGGCCCAAUCAUCUCUUCUCUCUGCAGGCUUCACAGACCCAGACUCUAAUGAACCAUGGCAGCGUCAGAGUGCAGCAGCAUUUUACAGAUAAGGGCACCUGACACAAAAAGACCAGGUAACUUGGUCAGAGUUGCAAAAAUCAUUCGAAGAGCCACAACUAAUUGUCAUGUUUUCUGACCUCCAAACCACUUGACAUGUUUUGACACAUAUAUUUUCAAAACAGAUUGACAAAAAUCAUUGUUUAAAUGGCUUAAUUUGAUAAUGCUGGCUGAUGCAUUGUUAUUUGAUAGAAAGUAGAUUUAGCUAUCCAAGAAACACACAGUUGACUUUCUUCCAGAUGCUGCAAGUACAUUUUUAGUAAACUAAUUUAAAAAUCAGUAACAGAAGGCCUAUGAUGAACAUUUUUUUGCUUUUUUUUUGUCAUUUUACAUUUGACUAACCUUUUAUAACACCCAGAUGUAUGGGCAUAAUAAGUUGGUGCUGAGAGGAAAACUUUAUGAACUUCUGAGGACCAUAAAGCAGUUAGAAAAUAAGUUAAUAUUCUGAAGUGCAUUAAUUAAUACUUUUGACUACCCUGACCAGUUAAGAUCCUCAGAGACAUAUACCCCAAUUUUGAAUCCAAUUAAAAUGAUCUCCAUUACUAAAUUAACCCAUGUACAUUCAGAUCUUGAUAUAAAAUGACAUAGUCUCAAGACACCAAUUAAUUAAUCAAACAUGCAAAAAUAUGUCAAGAAAAUUAUUAAUCCUUCUAUUCUGAUGUCAGAUCUCAAAGGUCUUCAAACUUCUUAUAUAUUAGAAGUAUUAUAUACUAUGUCAAUUCUUCUUCACUUUAUUUAAAAGAUGACACUGAAAAAACAUUUCACCAUAUGUUUGUUUUAGAUGCAGUGAAAAAAUGUUCUUUUCAAAACAUAUGGUGAUGUAAUUAGGUGUCUCUGAACACAGCAAGGUUGGAAAGAGAAAUGUAUGAACGAAAUUGAAACCAUUUGCUGCUCUGGUGUCACCCCCCACCUUCCCCACCAACAUUAGUAUCUUCUCCGAGUUAUCAUUGUUGUAAUAAAGAAAAAUUUUAAGCACUUGAAGAUGAGGAAUGUCUGCUGUCACCUACCAUGGUUAUAGCAGAUAGAAUUCCAGGACUGCCUCUUCUUCCCUCUCACUGUGCAAAGCUAUGUGACUCAUGCUGUCAGUACCUCUUGCUGAGGAGUUUUGGCAUUAAUCCAGCAUCAUUGACAUUUGUGUAAUGUUUUGCAGCCGGGAGUCUGCUUUUAUCUAUGGCUUAGCUACCUUUAUGCAGCCUCAUGGGAUUUAUUUCUACUAAUGGGGAGAGGCCUUGUGUUUCUUUUUCUUCAAUAAAAAUGUUUGUUUAAAAAUA
Neofelis nebulosa (Clouded leopard) is the source of this 4355-nucleotide long non-coding RNA. RefSeq lists it as uncharacterized. The record is from RefSeq and is a predicted model, not a curated record. The transcript is spliced from 6 exons. Lineage: Eukaryota; Metazoa; Chordata; Mammalia; Carnivora; Felidae.